RNAcentral lists this ribosomal RNA (384 nucleotides) under uncultured bacterium. RNAcentral's name for it is "bacterial SSU rRNA". It matches the Rfam family "Bacterial small subunit ribosomal RNA", at positions 30 to 412 of the family's 1533-position model. The record is from RNAcentral.
AUUGAACGCUGGCGGCAUGCUUUACACAUGCAAGUCGAACGGCAGCACGGGGGCUUGCUCCUGGUGGCGAGUGGCGAACGGGUGAGUAAUGCAUCGGAACGUACCCAGUAGUGGGGGAUAGCCCGGCGAAAGCCGGAUUAAUACCGCAUAUUUCCUGAGGGAGAAAGCGGGGGACCUUCGGGCCUCGCGCUACUGGAGCGGCUGAUGUCGGAUUAGCUAGUUGGUGAGGUAAAGGCUCACCAAGGCGACGAUCCGUAGCUGGUCUGAGAGGAUGAUCAGCCACACUGGGACUGAGACACGGCCCAGACUCCUACGGGAGGCAGCAGUGGGGAAUUUUGGACAAUGGGGGCAACCCUGAUCCAGCCAUGCCGCGUGAGUGAAGAA